AUGUGGAAGUUACAACAGAUUCCAGUGGGACCCGCGGCACGCGCAACAAUGUUGGUCUGGGACACAUCGUCGCCCUGUAAUAUGGUCCUACUCGCACGCGCAACGGCGUUCGUCGGGGACACAUCGUCACUCUGUAAUAUUACAGGGGUGACUCGGCGCGAACAUCUCCGGUGGGGUAGUUAAUAGUAUCAGCGAUCGCCUAAGGGGUUUGAGAAGAAGAAGGACGCGGGAUCCUUUGCGAAGGUGGGGAUUUGGAUGGGAGCUUCUUGUCGAGGAAGGUGACCUUUCUUCGCCUUCUUUCUUGCUUUCGUUCUUAUCCAUUCUGUUCCGGCGAUUGCUCGUUUCUUUCUUUGCUACCUACCGAGAGGAAGGGCGGUCGAUUCAGGCCAGAAAGAAGGAAUCCUUUGUUCCGCAUCUCGUUUUCAGUUGCUCGUGUGGGUAAUUGCUCGUUUCUGUGUUUGUUCAUUCUUGGUUCUUGUUUGAAAUUUAGAGGGAAGUAUGGUUGAUUUGGACCCCAAAAAAGGGACCCUACGUUCCGCAGCUCCUUUUCAGUUGCUCGUGUGGGCAAUCGCUCGUUUCUGUGUUUGUUCUUUCUUGGUUCUUGUUUGAGAUCGAGAGGGAAGGGCGGUCGAUUCGGGCCAGAAAGAAGGAACCCUACGUUCCGCAUCUCAGUUGAUCAUGUGGGUAAUCGCUCGUUUCUGUGUUUGUUCUUUCUUGAUUCUUGUUUGAGAUUGAGAGGAAGGGCGGCCGAUCUGGACAGAAAGAAGGAACCCUAAGUUCCGCAUCUUGUUUUCAGUUGCUUACCUAGGUAUUUGCUCGUUCUUUGUUUAUUCUUUCUUGAUUCUGGUUUUCCGCAGCUCCGUUUCAGGUGCUCGUCUAGGUAUACUCUUCUUGGUUUGUGUUUUCUUUUAGUUUGUUCUUAAAGAUGUUGCUUGAUUCAUUUUCUUGGACUGAUCGUGGAGUUUUGGUGUAAACUUUAUGAUCGGGGAGUGAAAUCUUGAUGAGUAAAGAGACUCUUGUAUAAUUUGGAGUAUCUGAAAUCAAAGGCCAUUUUAACUUGCUUUUUGUUGGUUGAUGAUCAUCGAACAAAGAUGCAUCAGUUUUUCACAUUCGUAGUCUGGCAGAAGAUAAGAUACUUUAUGGGAUCGAUGAAACAAAAUACUGUCGGUUUGCCAUCUGACUAGAGGAAUUGGUUUUAGUGAUUGGAGUUGGAGGAAACGUGGAUUCAGGCUGUUACUAACCAAACAUGCUGUUAUUUUUUGUAUUGUCAACUAAUGAAGUUUCUUAUCUUUUGCCAGACUAAAGACAAAAUUAUAGUCUUUUUGCAUAUUAAGGUUCAAUAUUUACUAAACCUUUUAUGACUGUGGAUUGUAACUGUAUCAUUGUGCUCCAUGUUUGGUUGUCGUACGGUCAAAACCCCACAGUUCAACUUGUGCACCGUCAUGGAGAGUUGUGAAUAACAACUUUUGCUGCUAUCUGCUUUAGAUAUUCUCGUUGCAGUAUUGACUGCCACCUUCUUCUCCAUACUAACACAUAUGUAAACAAAAAGAUUCAGAACCGAAUUCCUUUUGUCCAUAAUUUUCUUACUGUGAUGUUCUUGUUUCUGAUUUGUUUUCUAACCAAAGAAGAACCUUAACUCCACUUAUCGAAUUAGCUUUAACCAAGAUCUUCUGUUUUGCUUUCAACAGUGUCUUUUCUCUAUGAUAUAUUUGCUUCAGUGAUUAUUACUUGUUGGAUCACUGAAAAGUCAGCAAUGAAGUUGGUAAAAAUUGUUCUAAGUAUAAUGUAAUUAAGUUUUUAUGAUCGAAUAGCAUUUUUGCAUGUUAUCACUUUAAUUGUACCAAAGCAAAAAAUAUGUGCUGCGAUGCCUCAUUGAGUAUCUUAGCUUUAAUUUUGAGUUUCUAUGUACCGUAGGAUGGCUUGUGCUUGUUCAUCCGGGAUGCUUUAAUUCUGCUGAUUACUUUUUGUUGGCUUUUUUUAUCUUUUGAGAUAUGUGUUCUGAGCAUUUACGAUUUGAAUGAAAGAAUGACAGAUUUUCUUGUUUGUGAUGGCCCAUUAUAAUCCAAUGCUGUCUCAGUGCAGGAUGACUCUGCUUUUUUUUUUUUUUUUUUGAGAUAUACUGAUUUAUUUCGUCGGUUACUUGCAUGAGCUUUUUUGACAAGGAGAUGUCCAUACUUUCAACUAUUAAUGGUAGCAACUUUGAACACAUGAAAAAUAUAUUGCCUUCAGCGCUGGUAUAUGAAACAAGUCCUGACAACGUUGGCAUUUGAUGCCACUUGAUGGUAUUGCGAAAUUUAUAGUGGUAACUAAGAAAAAAGGGGUUGUUUUACUUUUACUAUAUCAAGUGAUUAUUUUUUAUACGAGUAUAACUUACUUCAAUGACUAUUCAACAUUUUCUGCAUUAUGGAAAUUUAUGAGCCUUAAGGUUGUUAGUGAUGUUGUAUGAAUAUUCGUGUGUUAUAUACUCUUGGAAAUGAUAUGUAUUGCACAGAUGUUGCUUAUGACCUGACAAAAUGCACCACUAGGUCUAGACUAUGAAAGAGGGAAGUUGUUUGUUGUAUUAAAGUGUGUGUGUGUGUAUUUUUUUUUUUUUUUUUUUGGUGGGGUAGUCUUUCAUGGUGAUGGUAGCGGUAAAGGAUCCAAAGAAACUCUUUGUGUUGUGAAAUUAUGUAUUUCCUUAAGGGAAAUGAGGCAGAGAACAUUGCUGACUUAAAUAAAUGCUUUUGCAUUGAUUUCAUUGGAACAUAUUAAUUAAUGGUUAUAUUCUCAUUUUUAGUACAGGAAAAUUAAUUAAUGGUUAUAUUCUCAUUUAUUCUUCCAUAAAAUAUAGGCCGCACAAAUGGCAACAAACUUUCUUCUGGCAACAAAUAUUACAUUUAAUUCUGGCUUUGUUUUUGGUUUGGAAUCACGAAGAAGUUUCUAUAAAAUGAAAAUUACAUUGUUAGUUUUAAAGUUGCAGAUCAUAUUUGAUUGGACUACAAUUAUCAAAGAAAAAGUUUCUUCGAUUGGAGUGCUGGAAACUUUCUGUCUUGGUGCUGAUUAACACUGAUGACUCAUUGAACUGUCUUCUAAAUUUGACUAAUAUGGAAAUACUUAGAACAUGAAUAACUUCCUCCGACAGAAGCAAGUGGACCAUCCAAAUCUCUAAGUAUUUCCUUUUAUUUCGGCUUCAAGCUCAAGUUGUACUAACCAUAUCUGUACUCCCUUAGGGUGGCAUGCGAUCUUCAGGCACUCGAGAUUUGGACUGCCUACAAAGAACAAAACAAGCCAGAAAAAAAAUAAGUUAGACGCUUGUGGAAACUGAAAAUUCAAAAAAGAAAAUGGGUUGAAAGGACCUCAAAUUUGAAACGUCUGGUGAAGCCGGUGCAGAUGCAGAGAGGUUAUUAUUACCACAAUUUUGAAGCCCACAGCGCUCUGAUAUUGUAAAUAUAGUAGUUGCUUAGUGAUUUGUAUAUAUAUAUAUAUAUAUAUACACACACACACACACACACACAAAUACAUAUAUAUAUUAUACACACACAUUUGCAGUUUUAUGUAUUAGAAGAACAAAUUGAUGAAUGGAUCGCCCAGAAGUGAGUACUGCUUAAUUUAUUC
Long non-coding RNA from Musa acuminata AAA Group (dessert banana), 3594 nucleotides. RefSeq lists it as uncharacterized. Lineage: Eukaryota; Viridiplantae; Streptophyta; Magnoliopsida; Zingiberales; Musaceae. The transcript is spliced from 2 exons. The record is from RefSeq and is a predicted model, not a curated record.